ACGGGAGGCAGCAGUGGGGAAUAUUGGGCAAUGGGCGCAAGCCUGACCCAGCAACGCCGCGUGAGGGAAGAAGGCUUUCGGGUUGUAAACCUCUGUCCUUGGUGGCGAAGGAAGUGACGGUAGCCAAGGAGGAAGCCCCGGCUAACUACGUGCCAGCAGCCGCGGUAAUACGUAGGGGGCGAGCGUUGUCCGGAAUUACUGGGCGUAAAGGGUGCGUAGGCGGCACACUAAGUUGGAUGUGAAACCCCCGGGCUCAACCUGGGACCUGCAUCCAAUACUGGCGUGCUAGAGUGCAGGAGAGGAAAGCGGAAUUCCUAGUGUAGCGGUGAAAUGCGUAGAUAUUAGGAGGAACACCAGUGGCGAAGGCGGCUUUCUGGACUGUAACUGACGCUGAGGCACGAAAGCGUGGGGAGCAAACAGGAUUAGAUACCCUGGUA
Molecule: ribosomal RNA, 437 nt
Filed under: uncultured Oxobacter sp.
Lineage: Bacteria; Bacillati; Bacillota; Clostridia; Eubacteriales; Clostridiaceae
Description: partial 16S ribosomal RNA
Rfam family: Bacterial small subunit ribosomal RNA
Source: RNAcentral